UUAGGAAUAGUUUUAAGGAGAGAAUAAUGGUUUUGGGUAUCAUAGGUGCAUGGCGUAUGCUUUCUAAA
RNAcentral lists this transfer RNA (68 nucleotides) under Bathymodiolus marisindicus. Its description in RNAcentral is "tRNA-Pro". Lineage: Eukaryota; Metazoa; Mollusca; Bivalvia; Mytilida; Modiolidae. The record is from RNAcentral.